This 200-nucleotide ribosomal RNA is filed under the name uncultured prokaryote. RNAcentral's name for it is "partial 16S ribosomal RNA". It matches the Rfam family "Bacterial small subunit ribosomal RNA", at positions 1182 to 1382 of the family's 1533-position model. The record is from RNAcentral.
ACGUCAAGUCCUCAUGGCCCUUAUGGGCUGGGCUACACACGUGCUACAAUGGCGAUUACAAUGGGCAGCGAAGGGGCGACCUGGAGCGAAUCCCCAAAAAUCGUCUCAGUUCAGAUUGCACUCUGCAACUCGGGUGCAUGAAGGCGGAAUCGCUAGUAAUCGUGGAUCAGCAUGCCACGGUGAAUACGUUCCCGGGCCUU